UGCGGUACUGUUUCAAAAGCUCUGCGGUACGUGUUAAAAGCUCUGCGGUACAGUUUACACUCCGCGGUACAGUUUAAAAGCUCAGCGGUACAGUUUAAUAGCUCCGCGGUACAGUUAAAAAGCUUUGCGAUACAGUUAAAAAGCUCCGCGGUACAGUUAAAAAGGUCCGCGGUACAGGUUAAAAGCUCCGAGGUACAGUUUAAAAGCUCCGCGGUACAGUUAAAAAGCUUUGCGAUACAGUUAAAAAGCUCCGCGGUACAGUUAAAAAGGUCCGCGGUACAGUUUAAAAGCUCCGCGGUACAGUUUUAACUCCGCAGUACAGUUAAAACGCUCCGCAGUACAGUUUAAAAGCUCUGCGGUAUAGUAAAAUGCUCCGUGGUAGUUAAAAAGCACUGUGGUACAGUUAAAAAGCUCCACGGUACAGUUAUAAAGCUUUACGGUACAGUUAUAAAGCUUUGCGGUACAGUUUAAAAGCUCCGCGGUACAGUUUUAAAGCUCCGCGGUACAGUUUUAAAGCUCCGCGGUACAGUUUUAAAGCUCCGCAGAACAGUUAAAAUGCUCAUCGGUACAGUUUAAAAGCUCCGCGGUACAGUUUAAAAGCUCCACUGUACAGUUUAAGCUCUGCGGUACAGUUUCAAAAGCUCUGCGUUAAAGUUUAAACUCCGCGGUACAGUUAUAUAGCUCUGCGGUACAGUUUAAAAGCUCAGCGGUAAAGUUUAAACUCCGUAGAACAGUUAAAAUGCUCAGCGGUACAGUUUAAAAGCUCUGUGGUACAGUUUAAGCUCUGCGGUACAGUUUCAAAAGCUCUGCGGUACAUUUUAAACUCCGCGGUACAGUUAUAAAGCUCUGCGGUACAGUUUAAAAGCUCCGUGGUAAAGUUUAAACUCCGUAGAACAGUUAAAAUGCUCAGCGGUACAGUUUAAAAGCUCUGUGGUACAGUUUAAGGUCUGCGGUACAGUUUCAAAAGCUCUGCGGUACAUGUUAAAAGCUCUGCGGUACAGUUUACACUCCGCGGUACAGUUAAAAAGCUCCGCGGUACAGUUUAAAAGCUCCGCGGUACAGUUAAAAAGCUCCGUGGUACAGUUUAAAAGCUCAGCGGUACAGUUUAAUAGCUCCGCGGUACAGUUAAAAGCUUUGCGAUACAGUUAAAAAGCUCCGCGGUACAGUUAAAAAGGUCCGCGGUACAGGUUAAAAGCUCCGAGGUACAGUUUAAAAGCUCCGCGGUACAGUUUUAACUCCGUAGUACAGUUAAAACGCUCCGCAGUACAGUUUAAAAGCUCUGCGGUAUAGUAAAAUGCUCUGUGGUAGUUAAAAAGCACUGCGGUACAGUUAAAAAGCUCCACGGUACAGUUAUAAAGCUUUACGGUACAGUUAUAAAGCUUUGCGGUACAGUUUAAAAGCUCCGCGGUACAGUUUUAAAGCUCCGCCGUACAGUUUUAAAGCUCCGCCGUAAAGUUUAAACUCCGCAGAACAGUUAAAAUGCUCAUCGGUACAGUUUAAAAGCUCCGCGGUACAGUUUAAAAGCUCCACUGUACAGCUUAAGCUCUGCGGUACAGUUUCAAAAGCUCUGCGGUAAAGUUUAAACUCCGCGGUACAGUUAUAAAGCGCUGCGGUACAGUUUAAAAGCUCCGUGGUAAAGUUUAAACUCCGUAGAACAGUUAAAAUGCUCAGCGGUACAGUUUAAAAGCUCUGUGGUACAGUUUAAGGUCUGCGGUACAGUUUCAAAAGCUCUGCGGUACAUGUUAAAAGCUCUGCGGUACAGUUUACACUCCGCGGUACAGUUAAAAAGCUCCGCGGUACAGUUUAAAAGCUCCGCGGUACAGUUAAAAAGCUCCGCAGUACAGUUUAAAAGCUCAGCGGUACAGUUUAAAAGCUCCGCAGUACAGUUAAAAAGCUCCGCAGUACAGUUUAAAAGCCCUGCGGUAUAGUAAAAUGCUCCGUGGUAGUUAAAAAGCACUGCGGUACAGUUAAAAAGCUCCGCGGUACAGUUUCAAAAGCUCCGUGGUACAGUUUAAAAGCUCCGCGGUACAGUUUAAAAGCUCCUCGGUACAGUUAAAAAGCUUUGCGGUACAAUUAAAAAGCUCCGCGGUACAGGUUAAAAGCUUUGCGGUACAGUUUAGAAGCUCCACUGUACAGUUUAAGCUCUGCGGUACAGUUUCAAAAGCUCUGCGGUACAGUUUAAACUCCGCGGUGCAGUUAAAAAGAUUUGCGGUACAGUUAAAAAGCUCAGCGAUACAGUUUAAAAGCUCAGCGGUACAGUGUAAAAGCUCCGCGGUACAGUUAAAAAGCUCCGCGGUACAGUUAAAAAGCUCCACGGUACAGUUAAAAAGCUCCACGGUACAGUUUCAAAAGCUCCGCGGUACAGUUUCAAAAGCUCCGCGGUACAGUUUAAAAGCUCCAAGGUACAGUUUAAAAGCUCCGCGAUACAGUUCAAAAGCUUUGCGGUAUAAUUAAAAAGCUCCGCGGUACAGUUAAAAAGGUCUGCGGUACAGGUUAAAAGCUCCGAGGUACAGUUUAAAAGCUCCGCGGUACAGGUUAAAAGCUUUACGGUAAAGUUAAAAUGCUCCGCGGUACAGUUAAAAAGUUCCACGGUACAGUUUAAAUGCUCCACUGUACAGUUUAAGCUCCGCGGUACAGUUAAAAAGCUCCGCGUUACAGUUAAAAUGCUCAGCGGUACAGUUUAAAAGCUCUGCUAUACAGUUUCAAAAGCUCCGCGGUACAGUUUAAAAGCUCCGCGGUACAGUUUAAAAGCUCCGCGGUACAGUUAAGAAGCUCUGUGUUACAGUUAAAAAGCUCUGCGGUACAGUUAAAAAACUCCGCGGUACAGGUUAAAAGCUCUGAGGUACAGUUUAAACUCCGCGGUACAGUUAAGAAUCUCCGCGGUACAGUUUAAAAGCUCCACGGUACAGUUUAAAAGCUCCGCGGUACAGUUUAAGCUCCGCGGUACAGUUUAAAAGCUCUUCGGUACAGUUUAAACUCUGCGGUACAGUUAAAAAGCUCUGCGGUACAGUUUAAAAGCUCUGCGGUACAGUUUAAAAGCUCUGCGGUACAGUUAAAAAGCUCUGCGGUACAGUUCAAAAGGUCCGCGGUACAGUUUAAAAGUUCAGCGGUACAAUUAAAAUGCUCCGCGGUACAGUUAAAAAGCUCCGCGGUACAGUUUAAACUCCGCGGUACAGUUAAAAUGCCCAGCGGUACAGUUUAAAAGCUCCGCUGUACAGUUUCAAAAGCUCCACGGUACAGUUUAAAAGCUCCGCUGUACAGUUUCUAAAGCUCCGCGGUACAGGUUAAAAGCUCUGAGGUACAGUUUAAACUCCGUGGUACAGUUUAAAAGCUCAGCGGUACAGUUUAAAAGCUCAGCGGUACAGUUUAAAAGUUCAGCGGUACAGUUAAAAAGGUCCGCGGUACCAGUUAAAAGCUUUGCGGUACAGUUUAAGCUCCGCUGUACAGUUUAAAAGCUCAGCGGUACAGUUAAAAUGCUCCGUAUGUGUUUAUUUAUAUAUACAUAUAUAACAAAAAGGAAUAUAUAUAUUACCAGGGUAAGAAACAA
Astyanax mexicanus (Mexican tetra) is the source of this 3547-nucleotide long non-coding RNA. RefSeq lists it as uncharacterized. Lineage: Eukaryota; Metazoa; Chordata; Actinopteri; Characiformes; Acestrorhamphidae. The record is from RefSeq and is a predicted model, not a curated record. The transcript has 6 exons.